Coffea arabica (coffee) is the source of this 1202-nucleotide non-coding RNA. Lineage: Eukaryota; Viridiplantae; Streptophyta; Magnoliopsida; Gentianales; Rubiaceae. The record is from RefSeq and is a predicted model, not a curated record.
UCCUAAAAUUAUUUGAUAAGGAUUCUGAGAUGUUGACUUUUCUAGAAACCAAUGGCAAGCAUACAAGUAUAGGAUGCGGAACAAUAAUAAGAUGCGAGGGGAAUCACUACACUGUAUUGUCUUGCGAGCAUAUUUUUAAUCCUAUUGAGAAGAUUUAUGCUCGAUCAUUUGAUGGUGGGAAAUACAAAGUUGGAGUGCUAUUUAUGGACAAGCAGUCUGACAUAUCAACAGUGAGGAUAGUAUCUGAAGUUCCACUAGAAGUAGCAACAUUGGGUGAUUCAACUAAGUUGUUGCCCGGUACUAUGGUAGGUGCUUUGGGAUGUCCUCUGGGAUUACCAAAUACCUUCACAGCUGGAGUAGUGAGUUCUGUUGGGCGUAAAAGCUUUGAGCUGCAACAUGUGGAUUUUCAGGGAUAUCUGAAGGAGGUCAUCGUCAUGGACAUAGUCCUCAGCAAUGGAAACUCUGGAGGACCCCGUAUCAAUUUGGACGGGGAGGUAGUUGGUGUUAAUAGUCGAGGGAUUAGAAGGUUUUAUGAAAGGGGUUUGGCAAGGAUUAAUCGGUUGGGAUUUGCUAUCCCAAUUGAAUAUGUUUGCAAAAUGUUGGACACCGUCAGCCGAGAAGGGGGAAUUAGGCGACGUUUGCUUGGUUUGCAAACACGUGAUCUCACUACGGAGAGGAUUGCACAACUAAAGAGAUUGGAGAAGUACAAAUUUCUUGGCAAGAAGGCUAUUCUAUUUUUUUGACUAGUCAAUGUAAAUAUAACUUUUCAGCAAGAUAUCAGCAUACGCUUUGCAUUCCAAUAACCAGGCACCUAGAGGUUUUCCUGCGAGUAAGGCUGGAAUUGUGAUUAAAUUCAACAAUGAGACUGUUGGAAGUAUUAAAGAGAUCACUGAUAUCAUGGAACACAAUAUGGAUCGUGAAACAUUCUCGGUUGUUGUAAUGAACAACGGUGUUCCAAAAAGGCGUUUUAUAACUCCAGAGGCAGUUAGUGAAGAAAUGUCAAAUAGUUUAGUUUAGCAACACAGUCACAGCACAAUGAUGGCAGACAGUUACUUUAGGGUGUUUUCUUUUAGAAUGUUCAUUGUUCCUCUUGUAAUUGUAUGGUAACAAUUGACGUGUUUUGAAUGUUUGGAAAUUGAGUUUUGAGGUGUCUGAAAUAUUUUUGUUUUAUCUGAGAGUAAACUUACUAGACUUGCCUCUUA